This 253-nucleotide ribosomal RNA is filed under the name uncultured bacterium. RNAcentral's name for it is "partial 16S ribosomal RNA". It matches the Rfam family "Bacterial small subunit ribosomal RNA", at positions 524 to 776 of the family's 1533-position model. The record is from RNAcentral.
UACGUAGGGUGCAAGCGUUGUCCGGAAUUAUUGGGCGUAAAGAGCGUGUAGGCGGCCCGAUUAGUCCGCUGUGAAAGUCCAGGGCUCAACCCUGGAAUGCCGGUGGAUACUGUCGGGCUAGAGUCCGGAAGGGGCGAGUGGAAUUCCCGGUGUAGCGGUGAAAUGCGCAGAUAUCGGGAAGAACACCCGUGGCGAAGGCGGCUCUCUGGGACGGUACUGACGCUGAGACGCGAAAGCGUGGGGAGCGAACAGG